GCGGUAGGCUUAACACAUGCAAGUCGUGCGAGAAAGUAUCUUCGGAUAUGAGUAGAGCGGCGGACGGGUGAGUAACGCGUAGGAAUCUACCUAGUAGAAGGGGAUAGCCCGGGGAAACUCGGAUUAAUACCGUAUACCUCCUUCGGGAGAAAGAAGGCCUCUCUUUGAAGCUUUCGCUAUUAGAUGAGCCUGCGUAAGAUUAGCUUGUUGGUGAGGUAAAGGCUCACCAAGGCGACGAUCUUUAGCGGGUCUGAGAGGACGAUCCGCCACAUUGGGACUGAGACACGGCCCAGACUCCUACGGGAGGCAGCAGUGGGGAAUAUUGGACAAUGGGCGCAAGCCUGAUCCAGCCAUACCGCGUGUGUGAAGAAGGCCCUAGGGUUGUAAAGCACUUUAAGUUGGGAAGAAAAGUUAUUGGUUAAUAUCCAAUAACCGUGACAUUACCAUCAGAAUAAGGACCGGCUAAUUCCGU
RNAcentral lists this ribosomal RNA (472 nucleotides) under uncultured Pseudomonadota bacterium. Its description in RNAcentral is "bacterial SSU rRNA". It matches the Rfam family "Bacterial small subunit ribosomal RNA", at positions 39 to 506 of the family's 1533-position model. Lineage: Bacteria; Pseudomonadati; Pseudomonadota. The record is from RNAcentral.